Molecule: long non-coding RNA, 348 nt
Filed under: Vigna radiata
Lineage: Eukaryota; Viridiplantae; Streptophyta; Magnoliopsida; Fabales; Fabaceae
Description: long non-coding RNA (VRAD_LNC004437)
Source: RNAcentral
UUUUCAUGAGAAGCAAUUGAGAUUUUUCUAUUUAUAAAAAUAAUAAGAAACUGAAGACAAUAAUGAGAAUGAAAAUGUAUUAAUAAUGUUAAGAAGAGAGUAGAAGUAGAACAUAAGAUUGAAUAUAUUGAUGAAUACAGACAAAUACGACGUAACACAACAUCACAUCAACAAAAAGAAAUCAUUACUUCGAUUCUACAACACUAACGAUGAAUGAGUCACAAUAAUUGACUCAACACAAUUUGUUUUAACGCACAAAAAAAGCUUGAAAUCCACGUAAGUAUUCAACUUGAGACAGUGGAGAACCACCUUUUAUAGUAUACACUCGAAAAGCAGAAACUAUGAAAC